Molecule: ribosomal RNA, 456 nt
Filed under: uncultured Desulfovibrio sp.
Lineage: Bacteria; Pseudomonadati; Thermodesulfobacteriota; Desulfovibrionia; Desulfovibrionales; Desulfovibrionaceae
Description: bacterial SSU rRNA
Rfam family: Bacterial small subunit ribosomal RNA
Source: RNAcentral
AAGCGGUGGAGUAUGUGGUUUAAUUCGACGCAACGCGCAGAACCUUACCUAGACUUGACAUCCGGGAUUUCUGGAAACAGAGAAGUGCUUUAGCAAUAAAGAACCCGGUGACAGGUGCUGCAUGGCUGUCGUCAGCUCGUGUCGUGAGAUGUUGGGUUAAGUCCCGCAACGAGCGCAACCCUCGCCUUUAGUUGCCAGCAUUCAGUUGGGCACUCUAGAGGGACUGCCGGUGUCAAACCGGAGGAAGGUGGGAUGACGUCAAGUCCUCAUGGCCUUUAUGUCUAGGGCUACACACGUACUACAAUGGCCGGUACAAAGGGCAGCCACUCAGCGAUGAGGCGCUAAUCCCAUAAAGCCGGUCUCAGUCCGGAUCGCAGUCUGCAACUCGACUGCGUGAAGUUGGAAUCGCUAGUAAUCGUAGAUCAGCAUGCUACGGUGAAUACGUUCCCGGGCCUU